GCUUACGGCCAUACCAGCCUGAAUGCGCCCGAUCUCGUCAGAUCUCGCAAGCUAAGCAGGGUCGGUUCCUGGUUAGUACUUGCAUGGGAGACUUCCUGGGAAUACCAGUUGCUGUAAGCA
This 120-nucleotide ribosomal RNA is filed under the name Hucho hucho (huchen). Lineage: Eukaryota; Metazoa; Chordata; Actinopteri; Salmoniformes; Salmonidae. The record is from RNAcentral.